Molecule: long non-coding RNA, 629 nt
Filed under: Mytilus galloprovincialis (Mediterranean mussel)
Lineage: Eukaryota; Metazoa; Mollusca; Bivalvia; Mytilida; Mytilidae
Source: RNAcentral
UUAUAUGACUAAAUGUUUUACUGAACAGUUAUUUUGUAUUGUAAUUGAUGUUUCAAACGUUCUAAUAUUUGCAACAAAAUGCGGGUUUAACUAUAAUAUAUCAUGGUCAUAGCAUUUUUUUUAUGAUAAGUAAGUUCCAAAAAGAAAUCACGAAAAUUAACGUAUAUGAGAAUCAAACAGAGUUCCUUGGAUUUUUUGUGUAGCACUUUGUAGCAGAAUUUAAAUUACAGAAUUCUAAAACAAUACCUGGGUAGUUAAACUUUAUCUAUCAUUUUGGGAAAAAAGGAAAAAUGGCAAAUAAUGAACUAGCAAAUUUUUAUAGAACUUUUCAUCAACAGGUUUUCGUCGAAUUCUUACCAAUACAAUGAAACAUAUAGAUAUGCAGCUUGGUUUCACCCAAACAAACGGCAAAAUCAAAAGCUAAUUCUUUAUAAUAUAUUUGUACAUAUAAAGAAUUAUAAUUUUAAAAAUAUAGAGAACCAUUAAUGUAUUGCUAAUUUGUUUUUCACUUUUUUGCAACAAAGUAUAUAACUGUUUAGAAUUGUUAUAAAAGAGACAGAACCAUUAAUCCAGUAAAAACAGCCAGCACCAUGCAGGGAUUGGGUAGUUGAAAUUAACGUGUAUCGUCC